This 253-nucleotide ribosomal RNA is filed under the name uncultured bacterium. Its description in RNAcentral is "partial 16S ribosomal RNA". It matches the Rfam family "Bacterial small subunit ribosomal RNA", at positions 524 to 776 of the family's 1533-position model. The record is from RNAcentral.
GACAGAGGGUGCAAACGUUGCUCGGAAUUACUGGGCGUAAAGCGCGUGUAGGCGGACCGUUAAGUCAGACGUGAAAGCCCUGGGCUCAACCCAGGAACUGCACCUGAAACUGGCGGUCUUGAGUGGUGGAGAGGGAAGUGGAAUUCCUGGUGUAGAGGUGAAAUUCGUAGAUAUCAGGAGGAACACCAGCGGCGAAGGCGGCUUCCUGGACACCAACUGACGCUGAGACGCGAAAGCGUGGGGAGCAAACAGG